This 409-nucleotide ribosomal RNA is filed under the name uncultured bacterium. RNAcentral describes it as "bacterial SSU rRNA". It matches the Rfam family "Bacterial small subunit ribosomal RNA", at positions 353 to 776 of the family's 1533-position model. The record is from RNAcentral.
AGUGGGGAAUUUUCCGCAAUGGGCGAAAGCCUGACGGAGCAAGACCGCGUGGGGGAGGAAGGUUCUUGGAUUGUCAACCCCUUUUCUCAGGGAAGAACACAAUGACGGUACCUGAGGAAAAAGCAUCGGCUAACUCCGUGCCAGCAGCCGCGGUAAUACGGGGGAUGCAAGCGUUAUCCGGAAUGAUUGGGCGUAAAGAGUCCGUAGGUAGUCAUCCAAGUCUGCUGUUAAAGAGCGAGGCUUAACCUCGUAAAGGCAGUGGAAACUGGAAGACUAGAGUGUAGUAGGGGCAGAGGGAAUUCCUGGUGUAGCGGUGAAAUGCGUAGAGAUCAGGAAGAACACCGGUGGCGAAGGCGCUCUGCUGGGCUAUAACUGACACUGAGGGACGAAAGCUAGGGGAGCGAAUGGG